This is a long non-coding RNA of Fundulus heteroclitus (mummichog), 403 nucleotides long. RefSeq lists it as uncharacterized. The record is from RefSeq and is a predicted model, not a curated record. Lineage: Eukaryota; Metazoa; Chordata; Actinopteri; Cyprinodontiformes; Fundulidae. The transcript is spliced from 3 exons.
CCAAACUUAGAGAGAGAAGUGACUAAAGUGCAGCAGUUGGAGGGAGACCAGUGUCGUGAGGCCAUAUCUUUACUGAAACACAGCACAGACAACGAACAGAUCUUCAUGAAAAUGAGAGAAACCUUCCAGCACAGGCAAAAGUUGAUCCAUGAUUCUGAGCAAUGCAGCACAGUGCUUACUGUGUUCCCAAGGUUUCUAGACACAAAAGGCCUGGUGACGCAAGACUUUGACCUGUUGUUUGGAGUUGAGACUUCAUCAAAACUCCUUGAGAAAUGGGAUUUCCUGAAAGCCAAAGUAAUACAGCAAGCCAAGAACAUCAGCAAGACACCCCUGCUUGACCACCUUAUCCAGUCUGCAGAGGAGAACACUGAAGAGGAUGACGAGGUCCCACGUUGGGAUAGUG